RNAcentral lists this ribosomal RNA (486 nucleotides) under Salmonella enterica subsp. enterica serovar Poona. RNAcentral describes it as "partial 23S ribosomal RNA". It matches the Rfam family "Bacterial large subunit ribosomal RNA", at positions 769 to 1227 of the family's 2925-position model. The record is from RNAcentral. Lineage: Bacteria; Pseudomonadati; Pseudomonadota; Gammaproteobacteria; Enterobacterales; Enterobacteriaceae.
GAGGACCGAACCGACUAAUGUUGAAAAAUUAGCGGAUGACCUGUGGCUGGGGGUGAAAGGCCAAUCAAACCGGGAGAUAGCUGGUUCUCCCCGAAAGCUAUUUAGGUAGCGCCUCGUGAAUUCAUCUCCGGGGGUAGAGCACUGUUUCGGCUAGGGGGCCAUCCCGGCUUACCAACCCGAUGCAAACUGCGAAUACCGGAGAAUGUUAUCACGGGAGACACACGGCGGGUGCUAACGUCCGUCGUGAAGAGGGAAACAACCCAGACCGCCAGCUAAGGUCCCAAAGUCAUGGUUAAGUGGGAAACGAUGUGGGAAGGCCCAGACAGCCAGGAUGUUGGCUUAGAAGCAGCCAUCAUUUAAAGAAAGCGUAAUAGCUCACUGGUCGAGUCGGCCUGCGCGGAAGAUGUAACGGGGCUAAACCAUGCACCGAAGCUGCGGCAGCGAACGUAUCACCCAAGACAACUUUACGGAGUUAACGAUUGACGG